Molecule: RNA transcript, 5646 nt
Organism: Acinonyx jubatus (cheetah)
Lineage: Eukaryota; Metazoa; Chordata; Mammalia; Carnivora; Felidae
Gene: PTPN20
Gene name: protein tyrosine phosphatase non-receptor type 20
Exons: 13
Source: RefSeq, a predicted model, not a curated record
GCGGGGAGGGUGGGGGAGGCUGCUGCGCAGCAGCGUGAGAGGGCCGACUUGGGCUCACCCGGUGGCCCGGAGAGGAAGAUGCCUUUGAUGCCCAGGGGCAGUGGGAGUGUGUUGUGGCCCCAGUCCCCAGGAGGCCUGCAGGUGAACGACAAUUGUGUGCUGGCCCCAGGAUACUAAUCAGAACUUCUGCCUGACUCUCAAGGCACAAGGCUCAGUACCUGCAGAAGCCUUUUACCCAUCUAAUCCGGGCGUGGGGACAACAUGUCUGCACCUAGGAAGGCCACAGCAGAGUCUGAGAAUUUGGAAAGUACAAACAAGCACAGAAACACAAGGAAGGCUUUUGGAAAAGAUAUGGAGGGAGAGGACUCUAAUUUGAAAGACGUGAUUUCCUGGGAGAGUUUGCCUUCAUCAAGUCAGACACCUAGAUCAGUGACUCGUGAGGUUUUGGCAAAGGAAGAUAGCUCAGAGGAGGUAAAAUUCUCUCCUCAGAGUUCCCAAAAUGAUUAUGAGGAUAUUUUAAAAGAUGCUACAGAAAGUGACAGUGAUCCAAGCAUAUGGGCCACCAGUGGCUUCCUAAGAGACAAGUGGAGCAGUGAGGAUGAAGAACUUGCAGGGCCAUCCCAGACUGUCCCUCCUCAGCUCCACGGUAUACAAAUUGUUUCUGAAAGGGAGCUAGCUCAGCUGGCUCAUGUUCGACCAUUAAUAUUCAGUUUUCAUGAGCAAUUAACCAUCAAGGAUUGUUUUAAUGUGCUUGAGAAAAAAGUAGCAGAAUUUGAAAUCCUCCAGGAAUUUAUGACUUUAGAUUUUCAGAACCUACCUGGUGAGUUCAACUCUGGGAAUGACCUACGCAACAGAGACAAAAACAGAUAUCGAGAUGUUCUUCCAUAUGAUUCAACACGUGUUCCUCUUGGAGAAAACAAAGACUACAUCAAUGCUAGUUAUAUUAGAAUAAUGAAUUCUGGAGAAGAGUAUUUUUAUAUUGCUGCUCAAGGACCACUGCCAAGUACCACAGAUGACUUCUGGCAAAUGGUUUUAGAGAAUAACUCUAAUGUUAUUGUCAUGAUAACCAAAGAGAUAGAAGGUGGAGUUGUCAAAUGCCACCAUUACUGGCCCAUUUCUAUGAAGAAGCCUUUGGAAUUGAAAAACUGUCGUAUCUUCAUGGAGAACUACCAGAUACUUCAAUGUUUCAUCAUCCGAAUAUUUCAAGUUGUGAGGAAGUCUACAGGAACUAGUCACUUUAUAAAACACUUGCAGUUCACCAACUGGCCAGACCAUGGCACUCCUGCCCCAGUAGAUGGCUUCAUAAAGUAUGUACGUUAUGUGAGGAAGAGCCACCUUACAGGACCUGUCCUUGUUCACUGCAGUGCUGGUGUGGGCCGGACGGGGGUGUUCCUCUGUGUGGAUGUUGUGUUCUGUGCCAUCGAAAAGAACUUUCCAUUCAACAUCAAGAAUAUAGUGGCCCAAAUGAGAGAACAGCGUUAUGGCAUGAUUCAAACAAAGGAGCAGUAUUGCUUUUGUUAUAAAGUUGUGCUUGAAGUUCUUCAGAAGAUUCUGACUUUCGAUUAAGAAAGACUUCCGUUGCCUCACACUUGAAAUUACCAAUGGCUUGGAGUCUCCUCAUAAAGAACAUGUUCCAGCUGUCCUGAAGGGCUUUGCUUAGGCGUACAAUGUACUUUCUUGGUGUAUCAUUUGACUGUCUUUCUGACAACUACCGGAAGGCAGCAUCAUUUGGUUUGCGGUGAACAGUGUUUACCCAUUAAUCUUACUUAGAUAUAAUGUACAGCAGUAUUCCUGAGAAGGAUUCUAUGCUGUUACUUAAAUGAAAAGACUUACUAUGAAUUGCCUGACGUAUUUUUAUUAUCUAGGCCUUGAAAUGUUCUUGUAAAAAAAAAUGCCACAAUUCUUGAUGGUAAGCAUAUUUCUUCUUUAAUGUGUGCCUCAUAUUUUUAUAGCUGGACCAAUUUUUAGUUUUUCAGGGAAAUUAAAUAAGUAAACAUGGAAAUACUGAUUGCAUUUGUUUUAUUUCAUUUUUGGAAAGUGAAUUCCAAAUUGAAAAUGUUUGACUAAUUGAAAUACUAAGUUUCAUACCAACAAUAAAUCAGUCUUUGCCUAGACUAUGAAUACGAAACUCCCACUGACACCUUUGUGAGUGUAUGAGUGCUUAUUGAGAGGAACUUUUAAAACAUUUAAAUAAAAACAUAUAUGCAUUUAUUAACUUUCAACUUUAAAUACAUAUUUUUAAAGAUGCAUGUCCUCGAUGGACUGACAUGUUGGGCCAAAUCUUUUCAGAAAUAAACACUGUAGGUUUUAUUCUCCUAUAAGUCUUGGUAAUUUAUUUUUCCUUGGGCUUUUCACCCCUAAGCUAUCUAGAACAUUAUUGAAUUUUCAAUUAACUUUACAUUUACUACUCAGAGGUCAUUUCAGUGAUUUAUUCUUACUGAAAAAUCUUAAAUGAAAACACCUUAACUCUAAAACAAAAAAGUUUCCUUUCCUACUUACUUUUUCUUAAUACCUGGGAAGAAUUAAUUUUCUUAUAUGUUGUCUUGAGAUUUAAGUAAUUGAACUAGAAGAUUUGGAAAGUAUCCAUUAAGUAAAAACAGGUUAGUGGUAUUCAGUGGGGAUGAUGGAUUGCUCAAUGGAGUGCUCAAUUUGUCUACAGCUAUAAUCAAAAGGAAGUAAGUAAUGACCUCAUCAUGUAACAAUUUGAAUUAGAAGGGAUCUUAAAACAUGCCUAAUGUAACUAUCAUAUCUGAAACUUGAAUGUGAUAAAGAACAUUUUUUAGAAACUAAUAGCGACAUCAUAUUGGGAGGUGAAAAAAUAGAGCCUUCCCAUUAGGAAAACAGUAACUCCUGUUAGCACUAUAGUAUUGCUCUAGAGUUAUCUAGCCAAUACAGAAAGACUACAAAAAGGAAUAAAUGGUAUAUAAAUACUGGAAAGUUAGAACAAAGCGAUCUUUUGUUUGUAUAUUUGCUCACAUAGAAAUAAUAGACUGAACUAAAAUACAGUAUUAGAAAAAUCAUUAUGAAGUCUGGAUACAAGAUAACUGUGUAAAAAUUUCUUUUUCUACAUCAGGGCUCAUCGGAUGAUGGCUUGCAGGCCAAAUCUGAUAUGUUGCCUGUUUUUGUAAAUAAAGUUUUAUGCCCAUUUGUUUACAUAUUGUCUAUGGCUGCUUUUGUGCUGUAGUGACAAUGGCCAAGUUAGUAGUGGCAGAGAUCAUAUGGCCCAUAAAUCCUAAAAAUAUUUACCAUCUGGCCCUUUAAAGGAAAAGUCUGCCACCCUCUGUAUCUUCAAUAGGAAAAAUACCUCUGAGCAACAAGGAUAUGUAAAAUGUAUAAAAUACUUAAGAUUUAACUUACCAAGAACUUGACCAGUUGUUGCUCUCGCUCUCAACGAGCAGUAAAUACAUGAAAAGAAUCAAGAUAGUUUUGAAAAAGAAAAGUUAAUUGUGGGGAAGAGAGAGCAUUUGCCUUAGUAAUAAAGUAUCAUCUAAAGUCACAGUUAAAACAAUGUGAUUCUGGCUCAGGGAUACACGCAUGGAUCAGUGGAACAACAUAGUCAGGAAAGAGACUCAACAGACUCAUAUAUUUGUGAAUUUAUUAUAUACUAAUGGUAGCAUUUCAAAUCCAGAGCAUCAAAAUUUAUGAAGCAAAAACUGAGAGAAGUGAUAAAAUUGGAAAGAUAGAUGAGUCCACAAUUGUAUUUGGAGAUUCCACCAUUCCCCUCUUAGUAAUUGAUAGAAUAAAUGGAAAAAUCAGUAAGGAUAUAAAAGAUCUGAAUAACAUUACCAACCACUUUGACCUAACUGACAUUCGUAUAACACUGCACCAAAAUACAGUAGAAUACACAUUUUUUUCAAGUGUAUGUGGGACAUUCACCAAAAGCGAUUAUAUUUUGGCUUAUAAAAUAAGCCUCAAUAUAAUUCCUAGGAAAGGAGCUUUAUAGGUAUGUUUAUGGAAUUAGCUACAAAUCAAUAACAUAAAGAUAUUUCAAAAGCUUCAAAAUAGUUGAAAAUUAAAUGGUGUACUUCUUUUUUUAUAUAUUUAUUUUGAGAGAGAGAGAGCGUGAGCAGGGAGAGGCAGAGAGGGAGACAGAGAAUCCCAAGCAGGCUCCAUGUUGUCAGCACAGAGCAGGGCUUGAUCCCACGAAUUGUGAUCUCAAUCUCAGAUCAUGACCUGAGCUGAAAUCAAGAGACAAAUGCUUAACUGACUAAGCUAUGCAGGCGCCCCAACAAUUUACUUCUAAAUAACCUAUGGGUCAAAUAAAAAAAGAACCUCAAGAGAAGUUAGAAAAUAUUUUGAAGUGAAAAUAAAAACAUAACAUGGGAUGCAGUGACAAAAGUUUUGGAGAAAGCCAUGUGCUUAGUUUGUACAGUGAUGAAUUUAUUAUGCUUAUGGGACUGCCAAGUGGCUCUACAAGUCUGGGAUGAAGACCUAGAUCUGGAGGAAUCUUUGCCUUAAAGAUGCUGUUUGAAGGCAUGGGAAUGGCUCCCCCAAAGAAAGUGAGACAGAGGCCAACGGCAGAGUCCUAGAGAAUUGUCGCAGACUACGAGUACAGAGUUCUCCCUUGUCCAGCAAGAGAGCGGACAUAGAAUUGAAUAUGAGAGAGGCUAAUUUCCGGGAGGAGACAAGAGUCCUGAACAGGGAUUUCAUCUCCGUAUUUAUUGAGCUCACAAGAUAUUACCCAUGUGGUGAAUGUGAAGAAAACAAGAUCUUGCACACGUGAACGUGGAGAAAACAAUUGGUCAGUAAUCAUUAACUUGUGUAUGUAGGAAGCAAAGGGUCUGGGGGACAAGUGGUGUUUGUGAUCCAAAGUAUAAUAGUAUAUUGGCAUCAGAUGGAAAGUAAUUUCUUGCAGGUGAUAUAACAAGUUACUCGUGAUCCCAUUUCAAUAUCUUGCUAGCUAACCUUGGGCGCUAUCGCCCUGUGGUGGUGGCUUUCCAUCCUAAGCUUUUUCUUACCCAUUUAUGUACGUAGAACCUGUUUCCCCACAGGGAAUGUCAACAUUCAUUCCUAUCUAGAUUGCCCUCAUGGCCCAGCCUAAAAGCCACCUCUUUUAUGAAGUCUCCUAAUACUCCUCUCUCCUUCAUCAGUACUUCUCAAACUCUGUGGUGAAGAACCCAUUUUAUUUACAAACAGAUGGACCCCAAAAUACCCAUCAGAUAUUUAUUGGAAAUUGUGGUGAGCUAAUUUGAGGACAGUAGCUGAAAUUGGAUGAUUGCCUCAAAAGUGAAUAAGUGCAAGGAGCACUUGGUAAAACCUAAAGGAGUUGGAGCAAUCCAGCUUUUAUCUACUGUAAAAGCUGAUAAGCUAAGACUCCUUUCCAGAACCAAGUACCAUACUGAGGAAAAACUGUAGAAUCAACAUUUAGCAAAACAGGGAUAAUAGGAAUGAAGAAAAGAGAAGGUCUAUAUAAAAGUGAAUGAAGGGGGGGGGGGGCGCCUGGGUGGCUCAGUUGGUUAAGCGUCCGACUUCGGCUCAGGUCACGAUCUCACGGUCUGCGAGUUCGAGCCCCGCGUCGGGCUCUGGGCUGACGGCUCAGAGCCUGGAGCCUGCUUCCGAUUCUGUGUCUCCCUCUCUCUCUGCCCCUCCCCCGUUCAUGCUCUGUCUCCCUCUGUCUCAAAAGUGAAUAAAUGUUAAAAAAAAAUU